CUCUGGCAUCUUGAAUUUAGGGCCCUUCAGUUUCGCAUCUGGACCUUCAAUAUUCACAUCUGGAACAUCAACGUCCACCUUGGGUCCUGAGACGUCAAGGUCAGCCUUGGGCAGGUUCACGUCCACAUCUGGACCUUCUCCUUUGAAGCCAGGCAUGCUGAUCUUGGGCAUUUUUAUCUUGGGCAUCUUUAGGUGCCAGUCUGGGCCAUGAACAUCAAC
This 219-nucleotide long non-coding RNA is filed under the name Homo sapiens (human). Its description in RNAcentral is "HSALNT0176179". The record is from RNAcentral. Lineage: Eukaryota; Metazoa; Chordata; Mammalia; Primates; Hominidae.